CUGUGCCUAAAGAGAUAGCAGCUGGAAAGGACUGAGGAAGCCACCAAAACGGAGAACAGCUGGUGGAAAAAAAAAAAAAAAAAAAAAAAAAAAAAAGGAGAGAUGUUUUAAAGCAGGUCUACACAAACUAGCUUAACUGAGUGAAGCAGAUGUAGGGUAUGGAGAGGAGAGAGUGCCUUGCAGACUGCAGGGAUCCCUUUCUGGGCUGACCCUGGGUGAGGAGCAGCGGUGGGAGAAGGAGGGAAAGGAUUUGUUCGAGCUCUGUGCUUGUACAUCUUAGAAAAUAUAUUGUGUGAGGUGGCCGGAGAUUUUUCCAAGGGUGUUUAAAGGGACAGCCUGAUCAGGAGACGGUGUCGCCUUGGAAGUAGUGAGAGCAGAGACCUGCUUAUGUCCUGCAAAAAUGCCAGAUCCUUGGAGCUGAGAGUAUUGGACAGGGACAAGGCACCAGGUCCUCUCACAUCCCAACAGCUCUUAAUGAGGGUACUCGGUAUUCUCAGGAGGCAACCUGCAGGUUCAGCCCUAAGACAGAAGAUUAAGUUGUUUUGA
RNAcentral lists this long non-coding RNA (546 nucleotides) under Anser brachyrhynchus (Pink-footed goose). RNAcentral's name for it is "lncRNA (ENSABRG00000007899.1)". The record is from RNAcentral. Lineage: Eukaryota; Metazoa; Chordata; Aves; Anseriformes; Anatidae.